Long non-coding RNA from Pectinophora gossypiella (pink bollworm), 412 nucleotides. RefSeq lists it as uncharacterized. The record is from RefSeq and is a predicted model, not a curated record. Lineage: Eukaryota; Metazoa; Arthropoda; Insecta; Lepidoptera; Gelechiidae. The transcript is spliced from 3 exons.
GUUACACCUGUUUGGAUUACCCCAACGUUCCAUUGCUACUCACAUUCGACAACUGAAGUCCAAUGAUGCAAAUGAUCAACACUGUUCCGCUCAGCUGGAAGAAUAUGUUGGCGUGGGAAAGAUCCUUGGUCCGUUGUUGUCGAACAGCGGCAUCAGAGCCCACAGUGAACAAGUGGUGAACGCGCUGGUGAAGAAGAAAGUGCACAGUCGCCUGAUGAUGCGUGCUUGUACGAAAAGACGCCUGCAGGACAUAGGUACACAUAGUGGACAUUUUCCAUUAGUAAACACUGUAGUUUUGUAACACAACGACGCCUGGGUAAACAGCAGGAACGAAGACUCAAACAUCUCGUCCAAGUCCCCAAAAACCAUCGCUAUGUAGACGAGUUCAAAUAGCAAGAAGCUGUAUUGACUG